Molecule: non-coding RNA, 249 nt
Filed under: Cucurbita argyrosperma
Lineage: Eukaryota; Viridiplantae; Streptophyta; Magnoliopsida; Cucurbitales; Cucurbitaceae
Source: RNAcentral
AUUGGGGUGUGGGCCAGAAACGACACGCGCUAAUUUAAACCCUAAACCUGUUUGACUGUUAAGGGGAUUUUGCCGGCGUUUACCCCUGUGGAUCCCAAAAAAUCUUAAACGUUGAUGCACUGCGCGUGGUUUAGUUUCCAGUUGUCUAAUAUAGCCUUUGAGGUUCGUAGGUGGGUGCUGCCUACACCAUUGCCAUGGUGUCUUGCGGCGGCAGCUAUUGUCCUCGCCUCUUAAUCACCCCCCCUUUUU